AUUGAACGCUGGCGGCAUGCUUUACACAUGCAAGUCGAACGGCAGCGCGGGGCAACCUGGCGGCGAGUGGCGAACGGGUGAGUAAUAUAUCGGAACGUACCCAGAAGUGGGGGAUAACGUAGCGAAAGUUACGCUAAUACCGCAUACGAUCUACGGAUGAAAGUAGGGGACCGCAAGGCCUUAUGCUUUUGGAGCGGCCGAUAUCUGAUUAGCUAGUUGGUGAGGUAAAGGCUCACCAAGGCGACGAUCAGUAGCUGGUCUGAGAGGACGACCAGCCACACUGGAACUGAGACACGGUCCAGACUCCUACGGGAGGCAGCAGUGGGGAAUUUUGGACAAUGGGCGCAAGCCUGAUCCAGCAAUGCCGCGUGAGUGAAGAAGGCCUUCGGGUUGUAAAGCUCUUUUGUCAGGGAAGAAACGGUAGAGGCUAUUAUCCUUUGCUAAUGACGGUACCUGAAGAAUAAGCACCGGCUAACUACGUG
This 482-nucleotide ribosomal RNA is filed under the name uncultured bacterium. RNAcentral's name for it is "partial 16S ribosomal RNA". It matches the Rfam family "Bacterial small subunit ribosomal RNA", at positions 30 to 507 of the family's 1533-position model. The record is from RNAcentral.